RNAcentral lists this ribosomal RNA (374 nucleotides) under uncultured organism. RNAcentral describes it as "partial 16S ribosomal RNA". It matches the Rfam family "Bacterial small subunit ribosomal RNA", at positions 525 to 896 of the family's 1533-position model. The record is from RNAcentral.
GGGGGGGGGGCAAGCGUUGUUCGGAAUUACUGGGCGUAAAGGGCGCGCAGGCGGCCUGGGCAAGUCCUUCGUGAAAUCCCACAGCUCAACUGUGGAACUGCGGAGGAUACUGCUAGGCUUGAGUCCGGGAGAGGGGAGUGGAAUUCCCAGUGUAGCGGUGAAAUGCGUAGAUAUUGGGAGGAACACCAGUGGCGAAGGCGGCUCCCUGGACCGGUACUGACGCUGAGGCGCGAAAGCUAGGGGAGCAAACGGGAUUAGAUACCCCGGUAGUCCUAGCUGUAAACGUUGAGCACUUGGUGUGGCGGGUGUCGACCCCUGCCGUGCCAAGCUAACGCAUUAAGUGCUCCGCCUGGGGAGUACGGUCGCAAAGGCUG